RNAcentral lists this ribosomal RNA (253 nucleotides) under uncultured bacterium. RNAcentral describes it as "partial 16S ribosomal RNA". It matches the Rfam family "Bacterial small subunit ribosomal RNA", at positions 524 to 776 of the family's 1533-position model. The record is from RNAcentral.
UACAGCGGGUGCGAGCGUUAAUCGGAAUUACUGGGCGUAAAGCGUGCGUAGACGGUAGCGUAAGUCAGAUGUGAAAGCCCCGGGCUCAACCUGGGAAUUGCAUUUGAGACUGCUCUGCUCGGGUGCGGAAGAGGGAAGCGGAAUUUCCGGUGUAGCGGUGAAAUGCGUAGAUAUCGGGAAGAACACCCGUGGCGAAGGCGGCUCGCUGGGACGGUACUGACGCUGAGACGCGAAAGCGUGGGGAGCGAACAGG